This 301-nucleotide ribosomal RNA is filed under the name uncultured bacterium. RNAcentral's name for it is "partial 16S ribosomal RNA". It matches the Rfam family "Bacterial small subunit ribosomal RNA", at positions 509 to 809 of the family's 1533-position model. The record is from RNAcentral.
CAGUCGCCGCGGUAAUACAGAGGGUGCGAGCGUUAAUCGGAUUUACUGGGCGUAAAGCGUGCGUAGGCGGCUAAUUGAGUCGGAUGUGAAAUCCCCGAGCUUAACUUGGGAAUUGCAUUCGAUACUGGUUAGCUAGAGUGUGGGAGAGGAUGGUAGAAUUCCAGGUGUAGCGGUGAAAUGCGUAGAGAUCUGGAGGAAUACCGAUGGCGAAGGCAGCCAUCUGGCCUAACACUGACGCUGAGGUACGAAAGCAUGGGGAGCAAACAGGAUUAGAUACCCGAGUAGUCCCUGUCUCUUAUAA